AACAAUUUAAAAACCGUAACCC
This 22-nucleotide small nuclear RNA is filed under the name Arabidopsis thaliana (thale cress). RNAcentral describes it as "snRNA_08498". Lineage: Eukaryota; Viridiplantae; Streptophyta; Magnoliopsida; Brassicales; Brassicaceae. The record is from RNAcentral.